CCUACGGGAGGCAGCAGUGGGGAAUAUUGGACAAUGGGGGGAACCCUGAUCCAGCGACGCCGCGUGAGUGAAGAAGUAUUUCGGUAUGUAAAGCUCUAUCAGCAGGGAAGAAAGAAAUGACGGUACCUGACUAAGAAGCCCCGGCUAACUACGUACCAGCAGCCGCGGUAAUACGUAGGGGGCAAGCGUUAUCCGGAUUUACUGGGUGUAAGGGGGGCGUAGUCGGCGAUGCAAGUCUGAAGUGAAAGGCGGGGGCCCAACCCGCGGACCGCGUUGGAAACUGUAUGGCUGGAAUGCAGGGGAGGGAAGUGGAAUUCCUGGGGGAGCGGGGAAAUGCGUAGAUAUUAGGAGGAA
This 354-nucleotide ribosomal RNA is filed under the name uncultured bacterium. Its description in RNAcentral is "partial 16S ribosomal RNA". It matches the Rfam family "Bacterial small subunit ribosomal RNA", at positions 338 to 706 of the family's 1533-position model. The record is from RNAcentral.